AUGCAAGUCGAACGGCAGCACAGGAGAGCUUGCUCUCUGGGUGGCGAGUGGCGGACGGGUGAGGAAUACAUCGGAAUCUACUCUGUCGUGGGGGAUAACGUAGGGAAACUUACGCUAAUACCGCAUACGACCUACGGGUGAAAGCAGGGGAUCUUCGGACCUUGCGCGAUUGAAUGAGCCGAUGUCGGAUUAGCUAGUUGGCGGGGUAAAGGCCCUACCAAAGG
This 224-nucleotide ribosomal RNA is filed under the name Stenotrophomonas sp. UMCV3. RNAcentral's name for it is "partial 16S ribosomal RNA". It matches the Rfam family "Bacterial small subunit ribosomal RNA", at positions 55 to 274 of the family's 1533-position model. Lineage: Bacteria; Pseudomonadati; Pseudomonadota; Gammaproteobacteria; Lysobacterales; Lysobacteraceae. The record is from RNAcentral.